CACACUAACAAAUACACACUGAUGUGGUUUAAUUUUCUUCUUCCAACAGAAACAAAGAGGAAACACAGAGUUUGAAUGAAAACAUUUUUAUUUUAAAGCUGCAGAUAAAUAAUCAAUAAAUUAACUGAACAUGUAUUUAUCUACAGAGUGAUGAAGAGUCAUCAUCAUCAUCAUCAUCGUCAUCGUCACAGCUCCCUCUGGUGGAGGAAAAGACAAACAGAAAACACAACCAGGCGAAUGUGUAAACUUCUUCCCACCACAUGAAACCGUCGUUGCUACUAAAGUGAGUCUCAGCGAAGCUGAAGUCGGGGCCAGAAGCUGCACUGAUCCAGAGACGUGUCACCAGGCAGAUGUUAAUUCUCUUUUCUCGGGAAAAACUUUACAUCAUAUAAUUAUUAUUCUGGUUCUGAUCCUAACAUCUUCUCAUUCUGUCUUUGUCAAAGUGUAAAUAUAUGUGCAUCAUGUGUAUAAUAUGUGAUAUACGCCACAUGUGUAACCCUGAACCCUAUAGAACAGAUCGUUGAUAUCUGCAGUCAAACUAAUCUGUGAAGAAGCCCUAACCCUAACUAAACAUUUGAUAAAUAGGAAUCAUAUGACACAGACGGGAACGUGUUGGUUUUACCUGUAAACGUGGUGAUUGUUUAAAGAAAUGUGAUGGGACUGACAGGUAACAUGGUGGGUGUGUUAUUUCUCAAUGUGUCGACAUUUUCACAUCAGUUUUAUAGGAAAACAUGUUUGUUAAGACUAUUCUGCUAUUUUCUGAUUUAUUAAGUACAGACAAACUUCACUCCAGACAAAUGAUGUGUAUUUCUGAACAAAAUAACAUACAAUUCUGUAUUGAGCAGAAAAUCAUUUGAGAAAGAAUACAAAGUUAGUUAAAGUGACUGUACUGUUGUGUUAAUUAUAUAGAGUAAAUUAAAUAAGAGUUAAAACUA
Mugil cephalus (flathead mullet) is the source of this 935-nucleotide long non-coding RNA. RefSeq lists it as uncharacterized. Lineage: Eukaryota; Metazoa; Chordata; Actinopteri; Mugiliformes; Mugilidae. The record is from RefSeq and is a predicted model, not a curated record. The transcript has 2 exons.